UUUGUUUGUUAAGAACUCAGUGCCUAUUAUUGCAAUACUACCACUAAAACAACCAUCAGAGGCUACAUACCUGACGCACUAAUAAAUAUCUGGUUUCCCAUCAAUCCAGUCUAAGCUGUACAAGUUAAAUAUUUUUAAACCCCCAAGUUAACUAUGUAAUUUAAUUGGGGACAAGCCCAAUUAAUUAAAUUAUCACAAUAAACUACUCUCAUACAAGUAGGCCCAAAACCAGCCACCAACCCACCCCGUUAUAGAACACACACAAAAAAAAUUAUAAAACAUGAUAUAUACACAAUGAGAUAAAUUCUUCAACAAAAAGAAAACCCCCCAUGCAAAGACUAGUAUUUUUAUCAACAACAAAACUAUAAACCACAAAUAUAGAAAAGGAACUCGGCAAAUAAAUAUUUCGCCUGUUUAACAAAAACACCGCCUAUAGAUCUACUAAAUUAUAGGUCCAUCCUGCCCAGUGAUUAAAUUCAACGGCCGCGGUACCCUGACCGUGCAAAGGUAGCAUAAUCAUUUGCCUUUUAAUUGAAGGCUAGUAUGAAUGGAUAAACGAAAUUAUAUCUGUCUCCUCUAUAUCCCUAAAAACUUACCCUCAGGUGAAGAGGCCUGAAUUCAUAUAAAAGACAAGAAGACCCUGUCGAGCUUUAAUUUAAUAUAAGAAUAAAUCCAAUCCUCUACCCUUAUAUAAUUAUUUGUUGGGGCGACAAUGGAAUAAAUUAAUCUUCCAAUACAAAAAAGAUAACACAUCUCCCUAAAGAUCCUAAAACAGAUCCCAGAAACUAGCUACCGCAGGGAUAACAGACUAAUCCCCUUCAAGAGCCCAAAUCUACAAGGGGGCUUGGCACCUCGAUGUUGGCUUAAGAUAUCCCCUGAGCGCAGAAACCCAGGCCAGUGGGUUUGUUCAACCCUUAAAAUCUUACAUGAGCUGAGUUCAGAC
Molecule: ribosomal RNA, 943 nt
Filed under: Euniphysa tridontesa
Lineage: Eukaryota; Metazoa; Annelida; Polychaeta; Eunicida; Eunicidae
Description: partial 16S ribosomal RNA
Rfam family: Bacterial large subunit ribosomal RNA (bases 599-943)
Source: RNAcentral